CCUUCGGGUGGCUGCAGUGAGGAAUAUUGGUCAAUGGGCGGGAGCCUGAACCAGCCAAGCCGCGUGAGGGAAGAAGGUACAGCGUAUCGUAAACCUCUUUUGUCAGGGAACAAAGGCGGGGACUAGUCCCCGGAUGAGGGUAUCUGUAGACAAAGCAUCGGCUAACUCGGUGCCAGCAGCCGCGGUAAUACGGAGGAUGAGGGCGUUAUCCGUAUUUAUUGGGUUUAAAGGGUGCGCAGGCGGCCUGUUAAGUCAGCGGUAAUAGCCCGGGGCUCAACCCCGGCGAGCCGUUGAAACUGGCGGGCUGGAGUUGGAGAGAAGUACGCGGAAUGCGCGGUGUAGCGGUGAAAUGCUUAGAUAUCGCGCAGAACCCCGAUUGCGAAGGCAGCGGACCGGCUCCACACUGACGCUGAGGCACGAAAGCGUGGGUAUCGAACAGGAUUAGAUACCCGUGUAGUC
Molecule: ribosomal RNA, 459 nt
Filed under: uncultured bacterium
Lineage: Bacteria
Description: partial 16S ribosomal RNA
Rfam family: Bacterial small subunit ribosomal RNA
Source: RNAcentral